Molecule: non-coding RNA, 75 nt
Organism: Haemonchus placei
Lineage: Eukaryota; Metazoa; Nematoda; Chromadorea; Rhabditida; Trichostrongylidae
Source: Rfam
GGCCCAAAUUUGAAGUUGAGUAGAUUAGAAGGAUCAUCUGACCAUACUAAACUACUCUACUUCGAAUUUGUGCCC